UACGGAGGAUCCAAGCGUUGUCCGGAUUUAUUGGGUUUAAAGGGUGCGUAGGUGGUUUAUUAAGUCAGUGGUGAAAGUUUGCGGCUUAACCGUAAAAUUGCCAUUGAAACUGAUAGACUUGAGUAUGGUUGAGGUAGCUGGAAUGUGUCAUGUAGCGGUGAAAUGCUUAGAUAUGAUACAGAACACCGAUUGCGAAGGCAGGUUACUAAACCAUAACUGACACUGAGGCACGAAAGCAUGGGGAUCAAACAGGAUUAGAUACCCGGGUAGU
This 271-nucleotide ribosomal RNA is filed under the name uncultured bacterium. RNAcentral describes it as "partial 16S ribosomal RNA". It matches the Rfam family "Bacterial small subunit ribosomal RNA", at positions 524 to 794 of the family's 1533-position model. The record is from RNAcentral.